Molecule: small RNA, 455 nt
Filed under: Curvularia lunata
Lineage: Eukaryota; Fungi; Ascomycota; Dothideomycetes; Pleosporales; Pleosporaceae
Description: eukaryotic LSU rRNA
Rfam family: 5.8S ribosomal RNA (bases 121-274)
Source: RNAcentral
ACCCUUGUCUUUUGCGCACUUGUUGUUUCCUGGGCGGGUUCGCUCGCCACCAGGACCACCAAAUAAACAUUUUUUAUGCAGUUGCAAUCAGCGUCAGUACAAACAAUGUAAAUCAUUUACAACUUUCAACAACGGAUUUCUUGGUUCUGGCAUCGAUGAAGAACGCAGCGAAAUGCGAUACGUAGUGUGAAUUGCAGAAUUCAGUGCAUCAUCGAAUCUUUGAACGCACAUUGCGCCCUUUGGUAUUCCAAAGGGCAUGCCUGUUCGAGCGUCAUCUGUACCCUCAAGCUUUGCUUGGUGUUGGGCGUUUUUGUCUUUGGUCGCCCAAAGACUCGCCUUAAAGUUAUUGGCAGCCGGCCUUUCUGGUUUCGCAGCGCAGCACAUUUUUGCGCUUGCCAUCAGCAAAACGGCAAGCCAUCAAGCCUCCUUCUCACGUUUGACCUCGGAUCAGGUAG